ACGUAGGUGGCAAGCGUUGUCCGGAAUUAUUGGGCGUAAAGGGCGCGCAGGCGGUUCCUUAAGUCUGAUGUGAAACCUUGCGGCUUAACCGCAAGCGGUCAUUGGAAACUGGGGGACUUGAGUGCAGAAGAGGAGAGUGGAAUUCCACGUGUAGCGGUGAAAUGCGUAGAGAUGUGGAGGAACACCAGUGGCGAAGGCGGCUCUCUGGUCUGCAACUGACGCUGAGGCGCGAAAGCGUGGGUAGCGAACAGGA
RNAcentral lists this ribosomal RNA (253 nucleotides) under uncultured prokaryote. RNAcentral describes it as "partial 16S ribosomal RNA". It matches the Rfam family "Bacterial small subunit ribosomal RNA", at positions 525 to 777 of the family's 1533-position model. The record is from RNAcentral.